AACGAACGCUGGCGGCAUGCCUAACACAUGCAAGUCGAACGAGACCUUCGGGUCUAGUGGCGCACGGGUGCGUAACGCGUGGGAAUCUGCCCUUAGGUUCGGAAUAACUCAGGGAAACUUGAGCUAAUACCGGAUAAUGUCUUCGGACCAAAGAUUUAUCGCCAGAGGAUGAGCCCGCGUAAGAUUAGCUAGUUGGUGGGGUAAAAGCCUACCAAGGCGACGAUCUUUAGCUGGUCNGAGAGGAUGAUCA
RNAcentral lists this ribosomal RNA (250 nucleotides) under uncultured bacterium. Its description in RNAcentral is "partial 16S ribosomal RNA". It matches the Rfam family "Bacterial small subunit ribosomal RNA", at positions 29 to 306 of the family's 1533-position model. The record is from RNAcentral.